GUGGUGGAUUAGUGGCGAACGGGUGAGUAACACGUGGGUAAUCUGCCCUGCACUCUGGGAUAAGCCUUGGAAACGAGGUCUAAUACCGGAUAUGACAUACGGCCGCAUGGUCUGUGUGUGGAAAGUUCCGGCGGUGCAGGAUGAACCCGCGGCCUAUCAGCUUGUUGGUGGGGUAGUGGCCUACCAAGGCGACGACGGGUAGCCGGCCUGAGAGGGUGACCGGCCACACUGGGACUGAGACACGGCCCAGACUCCUACGGGAGGCAGCAGUGGGGAAUCUUGCGCAAUGGGCGAAAGCCUGACGCAGCAACGCCGCGUGGGGGAUGACGGCCUUCGGGUUGUAAACCUCUUUCGACAGGGACGAAGCUUUCGGGUGACGGUACCUGUAGAAGAAGCACCGGCUAACUACGUGCCAGCAGCCGCGGUAAUACGUAGGGUGCGAGCGUUGUCCGGAUUUAUUGGGCGUAAAGAGCUCGUAGGCGGUUUGUCGCGUCGGCCGUGAAAACCUGCAGCUUAACUGUGGGCGUGCGGUCGAUACGGGCAGACUUGAGUUCGGCAGGGGAGACUGGAAUUCCUGGUGUAGCGGUGAAAUGCGCAGAUAUCAGGAGGAACACCGGUGGCGAAGGCGGGUCUCUGGGCCGAUACUGACGCUGAGGAGCGAAAGCAUGGGGAGCGAACAGGAUUAGAUACCCUGGUAGUCCAUGCCGUAAA
This 711-nucleotide ribosomal RNA is filed under the name Saccharopolyspora sp. KLBMP 1530. Its description in RNAcentral is "bacterial SSU rRNA". It matches the Rfam family "Bacterial small subunit ribosomal RNA", at positions 84 to 806 of the family's 1533-position model. The record is from RNAcentral. Lineage: Bacteria; Bacillati; Actinomycetota; Actinomycetes; Pseudonocardiales; Pseudonocardiaceae.